Long non-coding RNA from Myotis brandtii (Brandt's bat), 2180 nucleotides. RefSeq lists it as uncharacterized. The transcript has 3 exons. Lineage: Eukaryota; Metazoa; Chordata; Mammalia; Chiroptera; Vespertilionidae. The record is from RefSeq and is a predicted model, not a curated record.
CAUGCAUCGGGCCUCAGUACUUCAAUAAAAGGCAUCAUAGUAGAGUCUUCUGGGGCUUGUGUUUUCUCUUGCAGUAAUGUUUCUGAGACCGUGUGGGUGCUAUGGCGUAGAGUAAUGUAGACAGAGCUGCCGUUCAUUUAUGUUCACAACUCUAUAUAGUCCACAGUCCAGGCUCCAGGCUCCAACCCUGUCUCUGGACACUUGAGUAACUUCUUCUUUUUCUCUAUCACAGAACAAUUUUCCAGGAAGAUUCUCAUACACGCCCCCUUGGUGCACUCAGCCCGUGGUGUUUUGCUGCUGUUGUUUUGGUAUUGUCCUGGUUUUUUAAAUACCUAUUGAGCCAUGAAUUCACAGGGAAGGGGAUCCAGCAGCUCGAGCUCCUUCCCGCAGUUCUCACAAGGUGGGCCUCUCUGGGCAGACCAGGCUGGUGCUUCGGUCGAACCCAGGUACCUUGCUCUUUUGCUCCCUUCUUUUUUGUAUCAUUUCCCUUCACAUAUUUCAGGAAGCCGUUGUGGCUCUUGGAGUAAUUAACAUGCCCAGAAUGUCCGUUAAUUCUCUUGGCAAGCAUCUGGCCCUUAACUUGUUUGUUUCCCACAAUGCCCACGGGGUCGCACUGUGGACUCGUCCAGUUUUGCCAUGGCAACAUUUGUGGGGCCUUCCUUUUGAGCAGUGCCCGUUCCCUUGAUGUCCACAAUACCACCUUUCUUAUAGAUUCACGUGUAGGUGGCCAGAGGAACAACUCCGUGGUUCUGAAAGGCCCAGGGGACACGCAGCGGAGUCCCUUCCCCUUCCCGUUGUCUCAGCCAUUUCGGUGAAUUACUAGAAGAUGAAGAUGCUGCUGAGAGGCACAACCUCCUCUUUUUAGGAGCAUCUCCAGGCCCCCAUGGCUGAGCCACUUCUUCCUCUAGUCCGUGGGCCCAGGCCUUGCUAGGUAUCAGCGGACACACACCACCUGCAGUGCUUCCCAGGAAGCGAUGGUUUCCAGAUCCCUCUGCACCUGUUCAUCCCCUUGUGAAUGGACCACAGAUGUUUCCAGAUGCCUCACACACUGCACACGCAUGUUCGAGGAAAACCCCAGGGCCAGUCUGACAGCACAGAGGGGGCCCCAAUCCCGCCCACGUGAGUUACUGGUGCAGCCAAGGAGGCUGGAGGCCGCGCUGGCAGCCAGGGCAGCCCUGUGGUCCACACUGCACCCAGGAACUGGUGAAAACCUACAGAUCUUUUCAUGGGAAAAGUCACCAGCUUGUUUGUAUGCCUCCGAUAUCUCCCUCUCGAGGCAGGGUAUCCACAGAACCCAACCUCACUGCUUUGACAUCGCACACCCAUCUUUUGAAAAAGUUUUCUUUUGUGCCUGUGUUUAGCUCUCCCCCCGGUUUCAUGUCCAGCAGCACAAAUUUAAUGAGAAAGAUACUGUGUGUUUUUUAACGUUACAUUCCAAGGAUAAUACCCGUGGCAAUGAGCCUGUUUGGAGCCUGUCCCCACUGCACUCUGGUUUGGGUGUCAGGCUCCGACCCAGCAGGCGGGGUCAGGGAAGGUACACGUCUCUUCGCCAGGCCCAGGGCAAGGCCCGGCUUUGCCAGGGCUGCGGACAGUGACAGUCCGCCUCUGCCGGCCGCCCUGGCCAGGAACAUCUGAGUAAUCUUGGACUCGUGUCUGUCCUGUCUCCUAUUGCCUAAUCUUGCCUGGCCUUCGUUAAAAACAUCUCGCUCCUUCACUUUCUCUCACUUGUUCCUCCACACGUUUCUCCUGGGACCACAGUGCUUGUGCCAGAGCCUGAGACUGGUCUCGCCAACACAGACUCCCAGAUAUUUACAAGCAAUUCCCGAAGGGGUGCCAGGCCCCUGGGGGUGUCUCUCAGACUGCGCCCUGAUAGGGGGACUAGGAGUUGGUUAAACCAGUCGCUGGAAGACUCACAUUUCAAGCCAAGGAAACAAAGGAAUGUCCACUGGUCAGCACUUGGAUGUGAGCAGAGGGUGCCAGGCCUCCUCCUAAGGAAGGUUUAGGUUGGGCGGUGCCGUGACUGAAGGCCCAGAGGCAGUGGAGGGAGGCAGCCACAGGGGGUGUGGGUGGGAGGCAGAGACGGGGAGACGUGGGGUUCAGGGGCCAGCAGAGGGAGCAGGGGAGGAAAGGGGGCAGCAGUGAUUGGAUGGAGGGAGGAGUUGAAAGGGGUGAUGAUGCCU